RNAcentral lists this ribosomal RNA (893 nucleotides) under Coslenchus rhombus. RNAcentral describes it as "SSU rRNA". It matches the Rfam family "Eukaryotic small subunit ribosomal RNA", at positions 123 to 1020 of the family's 1831-position model. The record is from RNAcentral. Lineage: Eukaryota; Metazoa; Nematoda; Chromadorea; Rhabditida; Tylenchidae.
GACGCCCUUGACUCCCAUUACCCGGGUAACUGUGGGAAUUCUAGAGCUAAUACAUGCACCAAAGCUCUGACCUUGCGGGAAGAGUGCAUUUAUUAGAACAAAACCAAGCGGCUUCGGUCGUUUUUUGUUGACUCAGAAUAACUAAGCUGAUCGCAUGGUCUUGUACCGGCGACGUGUCUUUCAAGUAUCUGCCUUAUCAACUUUCGAUGGUAGUGUAUCUGACUACCAUGGUUGUGACGGGUAACGGAGGAUAAGGGUUCGACUCCGGAGAAGGGGCCUGAGAAAUGGCCACUACGUCUAAGGAUGGCAGCAGGCGCGCAAAUUACCCACUCUCAGAACGAGGAGGUAGUGACGAAAAAUAACGAGGCCGUUCUCUACGAGGCCGGUCAUCGGAAUGGGUACAAUCUAAACCCUUUAACGAGUAUCUAUGAGAGGGCAAGUCUGGUGCCAGCAGCCGCGGUAAUUCCAGCUCUCAAAAUGCAUAGAAUUAUUGCUGCGGUUAAAAAGCUCGUAGUUGGAUCUGUGCCAGGAGAGCGGUCCACUUUCGGGUGGUACUGCUACGACUGGCUUUUUGCUGGUUUUCUCGUCGUAGUCUUCACCGAUUGCGGCGGGUGGCUGGCGAUUUUACUUUGAACAAAUCAGAGUGCUUAACACAGGCGUUUCGCUUGAAUGUUCUUGCAUGGAAUAAUAGAAAAGGAUUUCGGUUCUAUUUUAUUGGUUUUAUAGACUGAGAUAAUGGUUAACAGAGACAAACGGGGGCAUUCGUAUUGCUGCGUGAGAGGUGAAAUUCUUGGACCGCAGCAAGACGAACUACAGCGAAAGCAUUUGCCAAGAAUGUCUUCAUUAAUCAAGAACGAAAGUCAGAGGUUCGAAGGCGAUCAGAAUUCCCGCCC